GAUGAACGCUGGCGGCGUGCCUAAUACAUGCAAGUCGAGCGAACAGACGAGGAGCUUGCUCCUCUGACGUUAGCGGCGGACGGGUGAGUAACACGUGGAUAACCUACCUAUAAGACUGGGAUAACUUCGGGAAACCGGAGCUAAUACCGGAUAAUAUAUUGAACCGCAUGGUUCAAUAGUGAAAGACGGUUUUGCUGUCACUUAUAGAUGGAUCCGCGCCGCAUUAGCUAGUUGGUAAGGUAACGGCUUACCAAGGCGACGAUGCGUAGCCGACCUGAGAGAGUGAUCGGCCACACUGGAACUGAGACACGGUCCAGACGCCUACGGGAGGCAGCAGUAGGGAAUCUUCCGCAAUGGGCGAAAGCCUGACGGAGCAACGCCGCGUGAGUGAUGGAGGUCUUCGGAUCGUAAAACUCUGUUAUUAGGGAAGAACAAAUGUGUAAGUAACUAUGCACGUCUUGACGGUACCUAAUCAGAAAGCCACGGCUAACUACGUG
RNAcentral lists this ribosomal RNA (497 nucleotides) under uncultured bacterium. RNAcentral's name for it is "partial 16S ribosomal RNA". It matches the Rfam family "Bacterial small subunit ribosomal RNA", at positions 28 to 507 of the family's 1533-position model. The record is from RNAcentral.